This 468-nucleotide ribosomal RNA is filed under the name uncultured bacterium. RNAcentral's name for it is "partial 16S ribosomal RNA". It matches the Rfam family "Bacterial small subunit ribosomal RNA", at positions 28 to 507 of the family's 1533-position model. The record is from RNAcentral.
GACGAACGCUGGCGGCGUGCUUAACACAUGCCAGUCGAACGGAAAGGCCCUGCUUUUGUGGGGUGCUCGAGUGGCGAACGGGUGAGUAACACGUGAGUAACCUGCCCUUGACUUUGGGAUAACUUCAGGAAACUGGGGCUAAUACCGGAUAGGAGCUCCUGCUGCAUGGUGGGGGUUGGAAAGUUUCGGCGGUUGGGGAUGGACUCGCGGCUUAUCAGCUUGUUGGUGGGGUAGUGGCUUACCAAGGCUUUGACGGGUAGCCGGCCUGAGAGGGUGACCGGCCACAUUGGGACUGCGAGACGGCCCAGACUCCUACGGGAGGCAGCAGUGGGGAAUAUUGCACAAUGGGCGGAAGCCUGAUGCAGCAACGCCGCGUGCGGGAUGACGGCCUUCGGGUUGUAAACCGCUUUCGCCUGUGACGAAGCGUGAGUGACGGUAAUGGGUAAAGAAGCACCGGCUAACUACGUG